This 478-nucleotide long non-coding RNA is filed under the name Mytilus galloprovincialis (Mediterranean mussel). The record is from RNAcentral. Lineage: Eukaryota; Metazoa; Mollusca; Bivalvia; Mytilida; Mytilidae.
GCCCUUCAUUAUAACCAGAAACUCUUUUUUGCAAAACUUUCAAUUUAAGAUUGUUCAUAGGAUUCUACCAUGUAAUUCAUUUUUAUUGAAAUGUAAAUUAAAAGAAACUGAACUUUGUACUUUUUGUUCAGAAUUUAAAGAAAAUAUUUUUCACAUUUUUUGGGAAUGUAAUGUAUCACAAAACUUCUGGCUAUCCGUUAUAGAUUGGAUUAAAAAUUAUGGCAUUCUCCUGCCUUUCAGUGCACAAGAAGUCAUGUUAGGUGUGUCUGGGGAUUUUGUUAACAGUAAAACAGUUAACAAUAUUUUGUUGUUAUUCAAAUAUUAUAUAUACAAAUGUAGAUGUAAGAACAUAUCCCCCACAAAAUAUGGUGGGGUAGAAUAUUUAAAAUAUUGGAUUAAUAUAGAAAAAUACUCUGUAUGUUUCUUAACCCCUGUACAAAAGGUAAAAAUGGAUCAGAAAUGGCAUAUGUUAGCAGCA